UACGGGGGGGGCAAGCGUUGUUCGGAAUUACUGGGCGUAAAGGGCUCGUAGGUGGCCAACUAAGUCAGACGUGAAAUCUCUCGGCUUAACCGGGGAACUGCGUCUGAUACUGGAUGGCUUGAGUUUGGGAGAGGGACGCGGAAUUCCAGGUGUAGCGGUGAAAUGCGUAGAUAUCGUAAGGAAGACCAGUGGCGAAGGCGGGUCUCUGGACAGUUCCUGACGCUGAGGCACGAAGGCCAGGGGAGCAAACGGG
Molecule: ribosomal RNA, 253 nt
Filed under: uncultured bacterium
Lineage: Bacteria
Description: partial 16S ribosomal RNA
Rfam family: Bacterial small subunit ribosomal RNA
Source: RNAcentral